GACGAACGCUGGCGGCGCGCCUAACACAUGCAAGUCGAGCGAGAACCAUUCCUUCGGGAAUGGGGACAGCGGCGAACGGGUGAGUAACACGUGGGUAAUCUACCCUCGGUUCUGGGAUAGCCCGGGGAAACCCGGAUUAAUACCGGAUAGCCUCUUGAGCCUUCGGGUUCUUGAGAAAAGGUAGCUUCGGCCUCCGACCGAGGAUGAGCCCGCGGCGGAUUAGCUUGUUGGCGGGGUAACGGCCCACCAAGGCACGAUCCGUAGCUGGUCUGAGAGGACGAUCAGCCACACUGGGACUGAGACACGGCCCAGACUCCUACGGGAGGCAGCAGUGGGGAAUCUUGCACAAUGCGCGAAAGCGUGAUGCAGCAACGCCGCGUGGGGAAGACGGCCUGGU
Molecule: ribosomal RNA, 397 nt
Filed under: uncultured bacterium
Lineage: Bacteria
Description: bacterial SSU rRNA
Rfam family: Bacterial small subunit ribosomal RNA
Source: RNAcentral